Molecule: ribosomal RNA, 493 nt
Filed under: uncultured bacterium
Lineage: Bacteria
Description: partial 16S ribosomal RNA
Rfam family: Bacterial small subunit ribosomal RNA
Source: RNAcentral
AUUGAACGCUGGCGGCAUGCCUUACACAUGCAAGUCGAACGGUAACAGGUUAAGCUGACGAGUGGCGAACGGGUGAGUAAUGUAUCGGAACGUGCCCAGUCGUGGGGGAUAACUGCUCGAAGGAGCAGCUAAUACCGCAUACGACCUGAGGGUGGAAGCGGGGGAUCGCAAGACCUCGCGCGAUUGGAGCGGCCGAUAUCAGAUUAGGUAGUUGGUGAGGUAAAGGCUCACCAAGCCGACGAUCUGUAGCUGGUCUGAGAGGACGACCAGCCACACUGGGACUGAGACACGGCCCAGACUCCUACGGGAGGCAGCAGUGGGGAAUUUUGGACAAUGGGCGCAAGCCUGAUCCAGCCAUGCCGCGUGCGGGAAGAAGGCCUUCGGGUUGUAAACCGCUUUUGUCAGGGAAGAAAAGGUUCUGGCUAAUACCUGGGACUCAUGACGGUACCUGAAGAAUAAGCACCGGCUAACUACGUGCCAGCAGCCGCCGUAA